UAGUGGGCGGGGUUGAGCAGAUGUUCCACCAACCGCUCCUCUGUAUCGGCGCAGAGGCCUCCUGCAAUGAAAGUGCACCAUCAUCAUCAUCAUCAUCCUCAUCCUCAUCAUCCUCAUCAUCCUCAUCUCCACCUCUG
This 137-nucleotide microRNA precursor is filed under the name Tetraodon nigroviridis (spotted green pufferfish). Its description in RNAcentral is "miRNA (ENSTNIG00000020237.1)". Lineage: Eukaryota; Metazoa; Chordata; Actinopteri; Tetraodontiformes; Tetraodontidae. The record is from RNAcentral.